RNAcentral lists this ribosomal RNA (468 nucleotides) under uncultured bacterium. RNAcentral describes it as "partial 16S ribosomal RNA". It matches the Rfam family "Bacterial small subunit ribosomal RNA", at positions 28 to 507 of the family's 1533-position model. The record is from RNAcentral.
GACGAACGCUGGCGGCGUGCUUAACACAUGCAAGUCGAACGGAAAGGCCCUGCUUUUGUGGGGUGCUCGAGUGGCGAACGGGUGAGUAACACGUGAGUAACCUGCCCUUGACUUUGGGAUAACUUCAGGAAACUGGGGCUAAUACCGGAUAGGAGCUCCUGCUGCAUGGUGUGGGUUGGAAAGUUUCGGCGGUUGGGGAUGGACUCGCGGCUUAUCAGCUUGUUGGUGGGGUAGUGGCUUACCAAGGCUUUGACGGGUAGCCGGCCUGAGAGGGUGACAGGCCACAGUGGGACAGAGAUACGGCCCAGACGCCUACGGGAGGCAGGAGUGGGGAAUAUUGCAAGAUGGGCGGAAGCCUGAUGCAGCAACGCCGCGUGCGGGAUGACGGCCUUCGGGUUGUAAACCGCUUUCGCCUGUGACGAAGCGUGAGUGACGGUAAUGGGUAAAGAAGCACCGGCUAACUACGUG